GAUGAAGAACGUAGCGAAAUGCGAUAAGUAAUGUGAAUUGCAGAAUUCAGUGAAUCAUCGAAUCUUUGAACGCACAUUGCGCCCCUUGGUAUUCCGAGGGGCAUGCCUGUUCGAGCGUCAUUAUAACCCCUCAAGCUCAACUUGGUGUUGGGGCCUGCUGCACUGGCAGCCCUUAAAAUCAGUGGCGGCGCCAUCUGGCUCUAAGCGUAGUAAUUCUUCUCGCUAUGGAGUCCUGGUGGAUGCUUGCCAUCAACCCCCAAUUUUUCUAUGGUUGACCUCGGAUCAGGUAGGGAUACCCGCUGAACUUAAGCAUAUCAAUAAGCGGAGGA
Molecule: unclassified non-coding RNA, 329 nt
Filed under: soil metagenome
Description: partial contains 5.8S ribosomal RNA, internal transcribed spacer 2, and large subunit ribosomal RNA
Rfam family: 5.8S ribosomal RNA (bases 1-120)
Source: RNAcentral